GAUGAACGCUGGCGGUAUGCUUAGCACAUGCAAGUCGAACGGACUCUUCGGAGUUAGUGGCGGACGGGUGAGUAACGCGUGAGAAUCUGGCUUUGGGUUCGGGACAACCACUGGAAACGGUGGCUAAUACCGGAUGUGCAGAGAGGUAAAAGAGAAAUUGCCUGAAGAUGAGCUCGCGUCUGAUUAGCUAGUUGGUGAGGUAAAGGCGCACCAAGGCAGCGAUCAGUAGCUGGUCUGAGAGGAUGACCAGCCACACUGGGACUGAGACACGGCCCAGACUCCUACGGGAGGCAGCAGUGGGGAAUUUUCCGCAAUGGGCGAAAGCCUGACGGAGCACUACCGCGUGAGGGAAGAAGGCUCUUGGGUUGUAAACCUCUUUUCUUAGGGAAGAACAAAAUGACGGUACCUAAGGAAUCAGCAUCGGCUAACUCCGUG
RNAcentral lists this ribosomal RNA (435 nucleotides) under uncultured bacterium. RNAcentral describes it as "partial 16S ribosomal RNA". It matches the Rfam family "Bacterial small subunit ribosomal RNA", at positions 28 to 507 of the family's 1533-position model. The record is from RNAcentral.